UGGAGAUGCCGGGAAUCACUGGGAAUGUGAAACGGUCCAGCCACUCUGGAAGAUACUCUAGUCAUUUCUUUAAAAUAUGCAAAUAUGCACGCAAAUAUGACCCAGCAAUUACACCCUUUUUAAACUGGAAAUGAUCCAGAUGCCCUUCAGUGGGUGCGUGGCAGAACAAACUGUGGUAAACCCGUGCCAUGGAAUACUUCUCAGCAGCAGAAAAGGAGAACUAACUGACCUUUAGGGAUCCUUCGAUUUGUUGACAGAUAGCCCUGGAAGGCAGAGUAGAUAUAAUUGCCUAUGGAGCAGAUAGGGUGAGAAGCAGCCUUGGAGAGCAUCCCAAGGGCACUGGAGUGGCUAGAGGGAGAAUGGGCAGAGGAGCCUGAGCAGAGGUCAGGGAUGAGAGUGGUGUCACAGCAGCUGAGAGAGGGGUUUGAGAAGAGAGUGGUCAACUGUGCCAGCAGAUGAGAAGCCAAGUAAGCAGAGACCUGCAGCCACAGGGAGGUCAGUGGGGCUCCAAGGAGAGCACUCUGCAGGGGGCACAACAAGCACCGAGGAGGCUGGAUCUAGCCAUGGAGAGUGUGUGGCUUGGCCUCAAAAAUUCAAGGGCAGUGAAAUGCUAAAAUUCCCAUCACUGUCUAAUUUGCUAGGCAGCAGUAAGUGAUGAUGUCUUGUAACAGUAUAGAAAAGAUACUGAUAGUCUAAGUUUUCUCAUAAAAGUGUCCCAUAGCUGUUCAGUUUUUAGUCAAACAUUUGUUUUACUCUGUGCCCCAGAUACAAUACUGAAUGAUGUGCAUAGAUUAUCUUAAUUAAGACUCACAAUUACUUCAUGGCAUAAGUACUAAUACAAGCUCAUUAUAGUGACAAGGAGACUGAGGCCUAAGAAGUAAAGCAGCUUUCCCCAAGUUACACUCUCAGAAAGUGUUAAGAGCCAGGAUUGUAAAAAGGAGUUUGUAACUUGCAAUUGAACUUGUAUAACGGCCAACUGAACUAAAGACUUAGAUCUUCAGUUUCUCCAAAUUGAAUUAUUUUGAGGCUGAAUCAUUCCUACUGGAUAAAAGGAGAAAGACUAUGGUGAAGAUUAGCUGAGUUAAGAAUAACUAGUUCCAAGAAAGCUUCAGUAACUAAAGGGUUCAGAUACUGUGCAGAAUGCUAAAUGAUUGGAGUUCCUGUCGUGGCUCAAUGGAAACGAAUCUAAGUAGUAUCCAUGUUUGAUCUCUGGCCUCACUCAGUGGGUUAAGGAUUCGGCGUUGCUGUGAGCUGUGGUGUAGGUCGCAGAUGAGGCUCAGAUCCCAUGUUGCUGUGGCUGUGGUAUAGGCUGGCAGGUAUAGCUCCAAUUCAACCCCUAGCCUGGAAACCUCUAUAAGCUGUAGGUAGGCCAAAAAAGAAAGAAAGAAAGAGAGAGAGAAAGAGAGAAAGAAAGGAAAAGAAAGAAUGCUAAAUGGUGGAUGAGAGUCGAUGUGCAUUUUCAGAUUCUUCUGUUAGAGGAAGAAUUAUGUUAUUAAUUUAGAAAAGGUCUGAGUGCCUCCUGUAUGCUAGGCACUCAGGAACAGGGAAAGAGUGGUGAGAAAAGUAGACCAGAAUUUUGCCCUCAUGAAGCUUAUAGUUUAGACACUGUCGUAUGAGCUUAUAGUUUAAGACACUGUUGUUUCUAUGGUUAUGGAGGUGAGAGGCUAUGGGGACCUUGGUCUAUGGGUGCGGAAGGUCUUAUUCAGCCUCUGAGAGUUUGAAUAACAUCCCCAAUGCUCCAAAGUUGUUUCCCCUUCUUUGUUAAUAAAUCCUGAAUUUCUUUCA
This 1785-nucleotide long non-coding RNA is filed under the name Sus scrofa (pig). RNAcentral's name for it is "lncRNA (ENSSSCG00040011091.1)". Lineage: Eukaryota; Metazoa; Chordata; Mammalia; Artiodactyla; Suidae. The record is from RNAcentral.